AGGAAUUGGCGGGGGAGCACAACAACGGGUGGAGCCUGCGGUUUAAUUGGACUCAACGCCGGACAACUCACCGGGGGCGACAGCAAUAUGUAGGCCAAGCUGAAGACUUUGCCUGAAUCGCUGAGAGGAGGUGCAUGGCCGUCGCCAGUUCGUACUGUGAAGCAUCCUGUUAAGUCAGGCAACGAGCGAGACCCGUGCCCACUGUUACCAGCAUGUCCUCCGGGACGAUGGGUACACUGUGGGGACCGCCGGUGUUAAAUCGGAGGAAGGUGCGGGCCACGGUAGGUCAGUAUGCCCCGAAUCUCCCGGGCUACACGCGGGCUACAAUGGAUGGGACAAUGGGUCCCUCCCCUGAAAAGGGCUGGCAAUCUCACAAACCCAUCCUUAGUUCGGAUCGAGGGCUGUAACUCGCCCUCGUGAAGCUGGAAUCCGUAGUAAUUGCGUUUCAAUAUAGCGCGGUGAAUACGUCCCUGCUCCUUGCACACACCGCCCGUCAAACCACCCGAGUGAGGUAUGGGUGAGGGCACGGACACUGUGCCGUGUUCGAACCCGAAUUUUGCAAGGGGGGUUAAGUCGUAACAAGGUAACCUCAGUCAGUCAA
RNAcentral lists this ribosomal RNA (601 nucleotides) under uncultured euryarchaeote. RNAcentral describes it as "bacterial SSU rRNA". It matches the Rfam family "Archaeal small subunit ribosomal RNA", at positions 860 to 1478 of the family's 1478-position model. Lineage: Archaea; Methanobacteriati; Methanobacteriota. The record is from RNAcentral.